AUGAGGGUGAUGUGCCGGGCUACCUCGAGCAGAAAUAGAAACGAUGUGUCUGCUUUGCGCAAUUGUGAAAGAAAAUGUAGCCAGCAAUCUCAUACUCAAGCUAGAUGCAAGAGGGCUGCAGGUCCGCAGGAGAUCAAAUCAAUGACCAAAGAAACUGCACGGACGCCACCGACGCCCUUUACAAGCCUAGGCGACCGAAGAGGCGUACCAGGACAGAGACAAGCCGCCGUCCAUGCUGAACAUGUGUGCCAUAACCAGCUGCGGGGGUGGCUCCAGGUGAGGAAGAUAAACCUCCAUGAAGUGAAUCAGCAAAGAAAGCUGAUGGGAGAUAUCCAGCAGCAGCAAUUUUUGAGUGAGAAGCAAGAUUUAGGAAAAGAGAAAGGGGAUCGGAGGAGAUGGAUGGGGAAAAUAGGAACGGAGAAGUUAAGAAGUCUAUAG
RNAcentral lists this ribosomal RNA (438 nucleotides) under Triticum aestivum (bread wheat). RNAcentral's name for it is "partial small subunit ribosomal RNA". Lineage: Eukaryota; Viridiplantae; Streptophyta; Magnoliopsida; Poales; Poaceae. The record is from RNAcentral.